GAUGAACGCUGGCGGCGUGCCUAAUACAUGCAAGUCGAGCGAACAGAUAAGGAGCUUGCUCCUUUGACGUUAGCGGCGGACGGGUGAGUAACACGUGGGUAACCUACCUAUAAGACUGGGAUAACUUCGGGAAACCGGAGCUAAUACCGGAUAAUAUUUCGAAUCGCAUGGUUCGAUAGUGAAAGAUGGUUUUGCUAUCACUUAUAGAUGGACCCGCGCCGUAUUAGCUAGUUGGUAAGGUAACGGCUUACCAAGGCGACGAUACGUAGCCGACCUGAGAGGGUGAUCGGCCACACUGGAACUGAGACACGGUCCAGACUCCUACGGGAGGCAGCAGUAGGGAAUCUUCCGCAAUGGGCGAAAGCCUGACGGAGCAACGCCGCGUGAGUGAUGAAGGUCUUCGGAUCGUAAAACUCUGUUAUUAGGGAAGAACAUACGUGUAAGUAACUGUGCACGUCUUGACGGUACCUAAUCAGAAAGCCACGGCUAACUACGUG
Molecule: ribosomal RNA, 497 nt
Filed under: uncultured bacterium
Lineage: Bacteria
Description: partial 16S ribosomal RNA
Rfam family: Bacterial small subunit ribosomal RNA
Source: RNAcentral